GUCGUCAUCACCCUGAGCCCCGAGGCAGCGGCGGUCGCCAUGCGGAAGUCGUGCCGGGUUCAACGCUGCUGCAGCGCCGCCGGGCAGCCCCGGGGCUCCGAGCGCCGCUUCAGCUUCUCCGAAAACUGACAGUUCCCACCAAAAAAAGCCCCCCUAUGACCACCAGGUGAUGCUGGGACAACCGCCAGUGACUCCGGGACACCGCUGUGUCACCAUCACUCGGGUGAAACUGCUCCCUGUGCUCUGAGCACCACAUGGGCACAGGCACAGUCAUCCCCACAUUGUCACCGUGCUAUCGCUAAGCUGCUGACUGUCUUUUGUCACCCCCCAGGCCUGCCUCCAGCCGGACCUGGUAACACUGGAGCUCUCUGGCGCUGUCGCCAUUAUGUGCCACCAGGAUGGGGACGUGGUGGUGUACUCUGCUGCCACCAGAGGGGACCGUGUGUGACAUCAGCGUGGAACAGCUGUCAUCGCUGUUGGGUGUUGCUUUUGUCAACGUGCAUGGGGUGUCACCGCUGGGGACACCUCUGUGUCACCCCUACCGUGUCGCACCCCAAAGUUGGAGGCACCCCUCUGCAGAUCCCCUGGUGUCCCUCCUUCUGACUGCAUUGUUCCCAUGGGGUGGUGGGUGGGGUUGAGGGGGGCACACACUUUAUUUUUGUAAAUAAGAUUUAUUUUGUGAUAACGGUGGACUGGGAGAUGCCGCCCCCCCCAGACCUCUGCAUGAAUAAAAGGCAGAGGAGCGGCU
Molecule: RNA transcript, 748 nt
Organism: Gallus gallus (chicken)
Lineage: Eukaryota; Metazoa; Chordata; Aves; Galliformes; Phasianidae
Exons: 2
Source: RefSeq, a predicted model, not a curated record